This 72-nucleotide transfer RNA is filed under the name Caudoviricetes sp. Its description in RNAcentral is "tRNA-Cys". Lineage: Duplodnaviria; Heunggongvirae; Uroviricota; Caudoviricetes. The record is from RNAcentral.
GGCUUGUUGGAUGAGUGGUUUAGUCAGGGGUCCGCAAAAUCUCGUAGGGCGGUUCGAUUCCGCCACAAGCCU